RNAcentral lists this long non-coding RNA (314 nucleotides) under Elaeis guineensis (African oil palm). Its description in RNAcentral is "long non-coding RNA (EGUI_LNC052105)". Lineage: Eukaryota; Viridiplantae; Streptophyta; Magnoliopsida; Arecales; Arecaceae. The record is from RNAcentral.
GUCCCCCUGUGCUCCUGGGAUCGAUCUAGGUUAGUUCCAAAACUUUUUGUUAUUUUUCCAUCCUUUCUUCUUCGUAUUCUGUUUAUUUAACUUUCUCGAGGGCCUGUCUGCUAUUUUUCCCCAAUUUUGCGAGAUUUUUGUGGCUUCCGUUUGAUCCAAAAUAUCCUCUGAUAUCUCCUCUUCUAGCAGUUCUAGGAGUUCAUCAGCCUCGAUUCUCCAUAGUACUGGUACCGUAGACGAACCCGUAGCUAGGAUCAAACCUUGUCCGGCCUUUGCACCAGAUACCAUCCCUGGCUCCUUGACUCCGGAUGAGC